CCGCCAGAGAACUACGAGCAAACGCCUAAAACUCUAAGGACUUGGCGGUGCCUUAAACCCCCCUAGAGGAGCCUGUUCUAUAAUCGAUAAUCCACGAUCCACCUCACCAUCUCUUGCCAAUACCGUCUAUAUACCACCGUCACCAGCCUACCCUAUGAAGGACAUAAAAGUAGGCAAAAUAGCCWACAACAGCUAAUAAGUCAGGUCAAGGUGUAACUAACUGAGAUGGAAGAAAUGGGCUACAUUUUCUAAACUAGAAAUAACAUCACAGAAAAAACCAUGAAACAGGUUCCAUAAGCAGGAUUUAGCAGUAAAUAGGAACCAGAAUGCCUAAUUUAAGCCGGAUUCAAGGCACGCACACACCGCCCGUCACCCUCCUCAAAUCUUCAACACCUAUCCUAUUAAUAAAACCAUGACAAACAAACAGAUGAGGCAAGUCGUAACAAGGUAAGUAUACCGGAAGGUGUACUUGGAACAUU
Molecule: ribosomal RNA, 479 nt
Filed under: Chelonoidis carbonarius (red-footed tortoise)
Lineage: Eukaryota; Metazoa; Chordata; Testudines; Testudinidae
Description: partial 12S ribosomal RNA
Source: RNAcentral